GGAAUCUUCCACAAUGGGUGCAAGCCUGAUGGAGCAACGCCGCGUGAGUGAAGAAGGUUUUCGGAUCGUAAAGCUCUGUUGUAAGAGAAGAACGUGUGUGAGAGUGGAAAGUUCACACAGUGACGGUAACUUACCAGAAAGGGACGGCUAACUACGUGCCAG
This 162-nucleotide ribosomal RNA is filed under the name uncultured bacterium. RNAcentral describes it as "partial 16S rRNA". It matches the Rfam family "Bacterial small subunit ribosomal RNA", at positions 358 to 511 of the family's 1533-position model. The record is from RNAcentral.